UCCUGGAUAGCUCAUUCGGUAGAGCAUGAGACUCCUAAUCUCAGGGUUGUGGGUUUGAGCCCCACGUUGGGCA
RNAcentral lists this transfer RNA (73 nucleotides) under Podarcis lilfordi (Lilford's wall lizard). It matches the Rfam family "tRNA". From Rfam's summary of the family: Transfer RNA (tRNA) molecules are approximately 80 nucleotides in length. Lineage: Eukaryota; Metazoa; Chordata; Lepidosauria; Squamata; Lacertidae. The record is from Rfam by way of RNAcentral.